This 449-nucleotide ribosomal RNA is filed under the name uncultured bacterium. RNAcentral describes it as "bacterial SSU rRNA". It matches the Rfam family "Bacterial small subunit ribosomal RNA", at positions 355 to 796 of the family's 1533-position model. The record is from RNAcentral.
UCGAGGAUCUUUCGCAAUGGGCGAAAGCCUGACGAAGCGACGCCGUGUGAGCGAUGAAGGCCUUCGGGUUGUAAAGCUCUUUCGCACGGGAACAAGGUAGAUUUGCAAAUAGCAGAUCAGUUUGAGGGUACCGUGUAAAGAAGCACCGGCUAACUCCGUGCCAGCAGCUGCGGUAAUACGGAGGGUGCAAGCAUUAAUCGGAUUUAUUGGGCGUAAAGGGCGCGUAGGCGGAUUAGUAAGUCAGAUGUGAAAUACCGAAGCUCAACUUCGGCACUGCAUUUGAAACUACUAGUCUCGAGGGAUGGCGGAGAAAACGGAAUUCCACGUGUAGCGGUGAAAUGCGUAGAUAUGUGGAAGAACACCUGUGGCGAAAGCGGUUUUCUAGCUAUUACCUGACGCUGAGGCGCGAGAGCAAGGGGAUCAAACAGGAUUAGAUACCCCUGUAGUCC